GACAUUUUUUUAUAAUCUUAUUUGAACUAUGGUUUACAAAUAAAGGAUUUUUGCUUGAAAAUGUCUUAUGAAAAUAUGUGUUUAAAAAUGAAAAUUGGGACGUUACAAGAUGGCUUCUAUUUUUGAUGGUGCUCGAAUCUAAUAAGUUGUUGCCUCUACCAUCGUUUUUUGCAGUGUUGAUGUUUUUCUGUUGUUCGUCUUCAUCCAUUAGAUGGUAGACAAUACCCAAGCUUGGCGUAGGUUUGGUGCUGAGUAUUUGGGUCUUUAUGGUCCCGAAAUUGUCAUCAAGACCCAUCAGAAAUUUGUAUACACAGUCUUUCUCUUUGGACUCGAUAAGUCUUUUUCCUAGGUUGCAAGAAUAGUUGGGGCACGUUCAUGUUGGUGAAGAAGAGACAGAUUCAAUUUCAUGCUAUACACCCUUCAUCAUCGUGAACCAUGCCUUGUAUUCUUGCGCAUCUUCUGCUGGUUUUGGGAUAGUUCCAUCAAUGAAGUCGACCCUAUUCUUGGGAAUGAGGAAUUCACUCAUCUCCCGAGACCAGUCAGGAUAGUUGUCAUUCAAACUAUCAUUCACGUGCAUCUGAUGAGGAUAAUCAGUAAGGUGAAUAUAGUAUGGCGAAUCUGGAUCAAAAGAGGGGUUUUUGGCACUUCCUUCGGCGUCAUCUGUUGGUACAACCAUGGUGGCCUUUGGUUUGUGAUUUCAAUGGAUCAGAGGAUCCGUUGAUACCAUAUAGAAAACAAAAGUAAAGUUCAACUGGAACGAAUUGAUUCCGGGGUUAUCUCAUACAAUCGACAAAGGAGAGUAUAUAUACAUCAUUAUGAACUAAAGGAUAAGCAGGAAAUUAGAUAGAAUCCUACCGGGAAACUAGGAAGAAAAUAAAGAUAAGAUAAACAUAAUCUUGAUAUUAAUAUUAUUUUCUUCAAGUGUAGGCUUCUAUUCAUGGAUUUUGUGAAUUCUAGUGGAAUUCAAUUUCGAAGUAACUACGAGAUAA
This is a long non-coding RNA of Lactuca sativa (garden lettuce), 989 nucleotides long. RefSeq lists it as uncharacterized. The record is from RefSeq and is a predicted model, not a curated record. Lineage: Eukaryota; Viridiplantae; Streptophyta; Magnoliopsida; Asterales; Asteraceae.